CUCUCCGCCUCCUCUCCUCCCUUUCGGCUGAAUGCGCACGCGCGGCAAGAGCUGCGCGCGCAUUCAGCCAGUCUCAUAGGAAAGCAUUCAUAAUGCUUUCCUAUGGACACUUGCGUGUUCUCACUGUGAUUUUCACAGUGAGAAUCACGCAAGCGCCUCUAGCUGCUGUCAAUGAGACACCCACUAGAGGAUUUGGAGGCUGGAUUAACCCUAACACAAACAUAGCAGUUUCUCUGAAACUGCUAUGUUUAUUAAAAAAAGGAUAAAUCCUAGCUGGACCUGGCACCCAGACCACUUCAUU
Non-coding RNA from Pelobates cultripes (western spadefoot toad), 301 nucleotides. NCBI's taxonomy places the organism in Eukaryota, Metazoa, Chordata, Amphibia, Anura, Pelobatidae. The record is from the annotation of a GenBank genome assembly.